This 255-nucleotide ribosomal RNA is filed under the name uncultured bacterium. Its description in RNAcentral is "partial 16S ribosomal RNA". It matches the Rfam family "Bacterial small subunit ribosomal RNA", at positions 524 to 776 of the family's 1533-position model. The record is from RNAcentral.
UACGUAGGGUGCGAGCGUUAAUCGGAAUUACUGGGCGUAAAGCGUGCGCAGGCGGUCUGUUAAGACCGAUGUGAAAUCCCCGGGCUUAACCUGGGAACUGCAUUGGUGACUGGCAGGCUUUGAGUGUGGCAGAGGGGGGGUAGAAUUCCACGUGUAGCAGUGAAAUGCGUAGAGAUGUGGAGGAAUACCGAUGGCGAAGGCAGCCUCCUGGGCCAACACUGACGCUCAUGCACGAAAGCGUGGGGAGCAAACAGG